Molecule: transfer RNA, 83 nt
Filed under: Candidatus Faecinaster equi
Lineage: Bacteria; Pseudomonadati; Bacteroidota; Bacteroidia; Bacteroidales; Bacteroidaceae
Description: tRNA-Leu
Rfam family: tRNA
About the family: Transfer RNA (tRNA) molecules are approximately 80 nucleotides in length. Their secondary structure includes four short double-helical elements and three loops (D, anti-codon, and T loops).
Source: RNAcentral
GCCCAAGUGUCGUAAUGGUAGCCGAGACAGACUCAAAAUCUGUUGUCCGUAAGGACGUGCGGGUCCGACUCCCGCCUUGGGCA